This is a long non-coding RNA of Artibeus jamaicensis (Jamaican fruit-eating bat), 1461 nucleotides long. RefSeq lists it as uncharacterized. The transcript has 2 exons. Lineage: Eukaryota; Metazoa; Chordata; Mammalia; Chiroptera; Phyllostomidae. The record is from RefSeq and is a predicted model, not a curated record.
CUGCCUCAGGUGGGAGGAAGUAGAGGGGAGGGCAAGGGGCAUGUGGAUGAUUCCAGGGCCAGGGCCAGGGACACCGAUGUAUCAGGGGUUGUGCUGGCAGGAGGGGGUGGGUGAGGACUCACAUGGACAGCCUUCAUGAGUGUCCAGGCUGAGAUGUACCUACUGUGCUCGAGAUAAUCUUUGAGACUUGCCCUCCCCCACUUCAUUCUCCCCACUGUCUCUUGAGAAAGAAACAGGGGAUUGGGUCUGCUGUCCAUUGCACCCUGAUCCAACCAGACUGGAAAAGCUAGGUCUCUUCUCUCAGAGUCAGGUACCACAGGAGGAAGGUGAUGAGGCCCACAAGGGGCAUGAAAGAUGCAAACACAAUCUCAUAUUGAUGUCUCAGGUGAGUGACUCAGGAUUCUCACUGCCCAACAUGCCCCAGACACCACCUCCUGGAUGGUCCCUGGGAUUGCUCUGUCACCAUGUUUUUUUUUUUUUGAGCUGCCAUCUUCCUCCCCCAACCCACUACUUUACUGGGUCCUGGUCACACAGAUGAUACAGUGCCCUCCCUUCCUGCUUAGUGAUUCAAUAAAUCACUAAGUUUUUUUUACCGUUCCUCCUUAUCGCAGCUCAGCUCAAUGCCCAUCUCCACCCCAUCCUGACCCUGGUUGUUCCUGGGGCCUCAUCUCUUCCUGGGUCUCUGAACCUAAUCAAGUCCUGCCUCAACCUCUGUAGUCAACCCAGGCCUCCCAACUGUCUUUGCACACACUUAUCCUCCUUGCCCCACAUAGUUUGAACAGCAACAUUUCUUCUCUGUGUCCGGGAUGAGAAACAAUCUCCACAGACUGGAUUUAGAGCUGGCAUAGCCUGUGUCCUGCUGGACUCUCCACUGGAUUCCACCCUCUUCCAGAAUCUCACACCAUCUCCACACCUAGCUGGGCCAUGGCCUCUGUGACUCUGAGAGUUUGCACGUGCAGUUCCUUCUGCAGAAAUGCCCUUCCCUUCAGAUUCUUAUAUAUCUAAGUGUACACUGGGGAUGCAACUGUGAACCCAGCAGCAAAAUCCAUGUCAUCCAGAAGCUGCCAUUCUGGAGGCAAGAGAAUAGAAUUUAAAUCAGUGAUGACACUACAGCACUGAGUCACAGAAGAGAGGGCCUGUGUUUCAAGACCAGAGAGGGGAUUUGAGGGGAAUGUUCAUUCUGAGAAGCCACCUCUUGACCAUCAAGGGACAUCUGCGAGUGUGCUGGUGUGACUGAUGGAGAUGAAGAGAUGGUCAGGACUGGAGAUGGGCGCAUGUGUGACAGUGUGAGAGGGUGACAGCGGUGAGUGAGGACAGGCUCUGGCCACCCACAGAGGAGAGAAGACACAGAAAACACAUCGUAACUGGUCUCAGUGAUUUGGGGGCUAGAAAUUCAUGUAAGGAGUAAGAUAUCUUUUCCCUGUGUCCUUCUAAGUUCUCAACUGAGAUCACUGGAACAAA